RNAcentral lists this transfer RNA (68 nucleotides) under Hyphantria cunea (fall webworm moth). Its description in RNAcentral is "tRNA-Phe". Lineage: Eukaryota; Metazoa; Arthropoda; Insecta; Lepidoptera; Erebidae. The record is from RNAcentral.
AUUUAAAUAGCUUAUAUAUGAGAGUAUAAUAUUGAAGAUAUUAUGGAGAUAAUUUUUAUCUUUAAAUA